RNAcentral lists this transfer RNA (73 nucleotides) under Nanobdellota archaeon. RNAcentral describes it as "tRNA-Gln". It matches the Rfam family "tRNA". Rfam says of the family: Transfer RNA (tRNA) molecules are approximately 80 nucleotides in length. Their secondary structure includes four short double-helical elements and three loops (D, anti-codon, and T loops). RNAcentral also lists the same sequence under 1 other name. Lineage: Archaea; Nanobdellati; Nanobdellota. The record is from RNAcentral.
AGUCCCGUAGUGUAGCGGCCAAUCAUACGAGGCUCUGGACCUCGUGACCCUGGUUCGAAUCCAGGCGGGACUA